Molecule: ribosomal RNA, 484 nt
Filed under: uncultured bacterium
Lineage: Bacteria
Description: partial 16S ribosomal RNA
Rfam family: Bacterial small subunit ribosomal RNA
Source: RNAcentral
AUUGAACGCUGGCGGCAGGCCUAACACAUGCAAGUCGAGCGGAUGAAGGGUGCUUUCUCCUGGAUUCAGCGUCGGACGGGUGUGUAAUUCCUAUGAAUCUGCCUGGUAUUGGGUUAUAACGUCCGUAAACGGGCGCUAAUACCGCAUACUUCCUGAUGUAGCAAGUUGGUGAUCUUCUGACCUCACGCUUUCAGUUGAGCCUAGGUCGGAUUAGCUAGUUGGUUGGGUAAAUUCCUACCAAGGCGACGAUCCGUAACUGGUCUGAGAGGAUGAUCAGUCACACUGGAACUGAGACACGGUAAAGAGUACUACGGGAGGCAGCAGUGGGGAAUAUUGGACAAUGGGCGAAAGAAUGAAACAGCAAUGCCGAGUGUGAGAAGAAGGUGUUAGGAUUGUAAAGAACUUUAAGUUGGGAGGAAGGGCAGUAAGUUAAUAACAAGCUGUUGUGACGUUAACAACAGAAUAAGCACCGGCUAACUACGUG